GUGAUCAAUGGAUGGUCGAGCGGCAGAUUUCCCAUAAUCUUUUUCGAUUUUAGCUGAGGGUUUAAGAAUUUUUUUCUGGUAUAAAAGAACGCUUAAAAUCUAUUUUGUCUAUCUGCUGCCUUCGAUACGUGAACCAUCAGAUCCUCCUCUACACCCUCUCAGGUCUGGGUGUCUCAGGCUCUGCACACUCUUGAAUUGCAUCCUACCCGAAAGGCCGCUCCAAACGGGUGACGUGGAGAGGAUAUGUGUCUGCACCACAUACUCUCACUACUGGUGUCCAAAGGGCUCGGUUCUAGGCCCUCUCCUUUUCACACUAUACACUAAGUGCCGACACGCAUUUCUGCAAGCCUGGCCGAUAUCUCAGCUUGAAUGUUGGCCCACCACCUCAAGCUCAACCUCGACAAGACGGAGCUGCUCUUCCUCCCGGGGAUGGCCUGCCCGCUCCAAGUCCUCUCCAUCACGGUUGACAACUCCACGGUGUCCCCCUCCAAGAGUGCAAAGAACCUUGGCGGGACCCUGGACA
Long non-coding RNA from Salvelinus namaycush (lake trout), 523 nucleotides. RefSeq lists it as uncharacterized. The transcript has 3 exons. Lineage: Eukaryota; Metazoa; Chordata; Actinopteri; Salmoniformes; Salmonidae. The record is from RefSeq and is a predicted model, not a curated record.